CCUACGGGGGGCAGCAGUGGGGAAUAUUGCACAAUGGGGGAAACCCUGAUGCAGCGACGCCGCGUGGGCGAGGAAGUACCUCGGUAUGUAAAGCCCUAUCAGCAGGGAAGAAACAGGACAGUACCUGACUAAGAAGCCCCGGCUAACUACGUGCCAGCAGCCGCGGUAAUACGUAGGGGGCAAGCGUUAUCCGGAUUUACUGGGUGUAAAGGGAGCGUAGACGGCCAGACAAGUCAGAAGUGAAAGCCCAGGGCUCAACCCUGGGACUGCUUUUGAAACUGUUAUUCUAGAGUAUGGGAGAGGUA
RNAcentral lists this ribosomal RNA (305 nucleotides) under uncultured bacterium. RNAcentral's name for it is "bacterial SSU rRNA". It matches the Rfam family "Bacterial small subunit ribosomal RNA", at positions 338 to 659 of the family's 1533-position model. The record is from RNAcentral.